This 912-nucleotide long non-coding RNA is filed under the name Arabidopsis lyrata. RNAcentral's name for it is "long non-coding RNA (ALYR_LNC001364)". Lineage: Eukaryota; Viridiplantae; Streptophyta; Magnoliopsida; Brassicales; Brassicaceae. The record is from RNAcentral.
CCUACACAAGCCUAUUAUGGCUUUCCUAAGUUUUGUAAGUGAGGACGAAGUCCCUAUGAGUUUUUUUGUUUUGCAUCUACUCUACUUUAGCAGCCAGGAUCCGGGUUGCAUUUCACUUUUUUAUACUCAAUCAUACACACCAAUCUUGUCAUAUUGGACUCCAAAAACCCUACACAAGCUUAUUAUGGCUUUCCUAAGUUUUGUAUGUGAGGACGAAGUCCCUAUGAGUUUUUUUUGUUUUGCAUCUACUCUACUUUAGCAGCCAGGAUCUGGGUUGCAUUUCACUUUCUUAUACUCAAUCAUACAAACCAAUCUUGUCAUAUUGGACUCCAAAAACCCUACACAAGCCUAUUAUGGCUUUCCUAAGUUUUGUAAGUGAGUACGAAGUCCCUAUGAGUUUUUUUGUUUUGCAUCUACUCUACUUUAGCAGCCAGGAUCCGGGUUGCAUUUCGCUUUCUUAUACUCAAUCAUACACACCAAUCUUGUCAUAUUGGACUCUAAAAACCUCACACAAGCUUAUUAUGGCUUUCCUAAGUUUUGUAUGUGAGGACGAAGUCCCUAUGAGUUUUUUGUUUUGCAUCUUCUCUACUUUAGCAGCCAGGAUCCGGGUUGCAUUUCUAUUUCUUAUACUCAGUCAUACACACCAAUCUUGUCAUAUUAGACUCCAAGAAUCCUACACAAGCUUGUUAUGACUUCUCUAAGUUUUGUAAGUGAGGACGAAGUCCCUAUGAGUUUUUUUGUUUUGCAUCUACUCUACUUUAGCUGCCAGGAUCCGGGUUGCAUUUUACUUUCUUAUACUCAAUCAUACAAACCAAUCUUGUCAUAUUGGACUCCAAAAACCCUACACAAGCUUAUUAUGGCUUUCCUAAGUUUUGUAUGUGAGGACGAAGUCCCUAUGAGUUUUUUUGUUUU